CAGGAGCAAACAGGAUGAUUACUAUGUUUGACUCUUAUUAAAACUUCUCUAUCAUCGUGGUUUUAAUUAUUUGGCGUCAACAUUUUGUCACGAGUUUCAUCACGACAUGAAAGUCAACACUCUCGUACACUUACCAUGGUGUGCCACAUAACAAACUUUAGGGAUUACAUAAAUCAACAGGAAUGGAUUUACCCUCCAAAAACAUGUACGACACAUACAAAGAUGAAAUCUGGAAAGAGCUGGGACCCCUGGACCCUGACUGGUUUGAGGCACUGACAGCUCAGACAUUCACUAGCGAGGGAAAUGUCUCUGAUCAAGAUGACCUGUGUGCCAACCAAGAGGGACAUUUUAAAACGCCCUUUGACAGAACUGCAGUAGAAAGUCAGCUGUUUUCAACCCCCAAAGUUUUUAGACAACGGCGAGUUGUGUCUCCUGAAACUGAGGAUGAGCAGUCGUUCACUGGUGAACAAGAAAAAGAAACCUCGCCAUGGACAGCAACACAAAGUCCAUAUUUGUUUCGGAUGUCAAAAGACGGGUGAGUGCUGUUUGAAAGAAAAACUAUACGUUUAUUAAAU
This 575-nucleotide long non-coding RNA is filed under the name Sander lucioperca (pikeperch). Its description in RNAcentral is "lncRNA (ENSSLUG00000013634.1)". The record is from RNAcentral. Lineage: Eukaryota; Metazoa; Chordata; Actinopteri; Perciformes; Percidae.